Molecule: small RNA, 29 nt
Filed under: Bombyx mori (domestic silkworm)
Lineage: Eukaryota; Metazoa; Arthropoda; Insecta; Lepidoptera; Bombycidae
Description: ovarian small RNA-11477
Source: RNAcentral
ACGCAGUGCCAAAGGAUCUAGCCGAUCGG